UUUAUGCUUAGCUCAGUGGUAGGGCACUCGCCUAGCAUGCGCGAGGCCCUGGGUUUGACCCCAGUACUAAAA
This 72-nucleotide transfer RNA is filed under the name Marmota monax (woodchuck). RNAcentral describes it as "tRNA.Ala". The record is from RNAcentral. Lineage: Eukaryota; Metazoa; Chordata; Mammalia; Rodentia; Sciuridae.